GGCGCACGGGUGCGUAACGCGUAUGCAAUCUACCUUAUACAGGGGAAUAGCCCAGAGAAAUUUGGAUUAAUGCCCCAUAGUAUUAUUGAAUCGCAUGGUUUAAUAAUUAAAGUUCCAACGGUAUAAGAUGAGCAUGCGUCCCAUUAGUUAGUUGGUAAGGUAACGGCUUACCAAGACAAUGAUGGGUAGGGGUCCUGAGAGGGAGAUCCCCCACACUGGUACUGAGACACGGACCAGACUCCUACGGGAGGCAGCAGUGAGGAAUAUUGGUCAAUGGGCGCAAGCCUGAACCAGCCAUGCCGCGUGCAGGAAGAAGCAUCUAUGGUGUGUAAACUGCUUUUAUACAGGAAGAAACAACGCUACGUGUAGCGUCUUGACGGUACUGUAAGAAUAAGGACCGGCUAACUCCGUGCCAGCAGCCGCGGUAAUACGGAGGGUCCAAGCGUUAUCCGGAAUCAUUGGGUUUAAAGGGUCCGUAGGCGGCCUUAUAAGUCAGUGGUGAAAUCUCCUAGCUCAACUAGGAAACUGCCAUUGAUACUGUAAGGCUUGAAUUUUUGUGAAGAACUAGAAUAUGUAGUGUAGCGGUGAAAUGCUUAGAUAUUACAUGGAAUACCAAUUGCGAAGGCAGGUUACUAACAAACGAUUGACGCUGAUGGACGAAAGCGUGGGGAGCGAACAGGAUUAGAUACCCUGGUAGUCCACGCCGUCAACGAUGGAUACUAGCUGUUCGGAU
Molecule: ribosomal RNA, 733 nt
Filed under: Flavobacteriaceae bacterium BAL314
Lineage: Bacteria; Pseudomonadati; Bacteroidota; Flavobacteriia; Flavobacteriales; Flavobacteriaceae
Description: bacterial SSU rRNA
Rfam family: Bacterial small subunit ribosomal RNA
Source: RNAcentral